AUCAGUUGUGUGUUCCACGAGUCGAUAUGUGAUAUGGGAGCUCUUCUCUCAUUGCCCGAAAAACGAACAGUGAACCCAGACCCUUACCAGAACGCCAGCUGUUACACGACACCAUCUGGGCCAUGGUGUGAGCUGGACCCUGCUUUUAAGGAUUCGUUAUCUUUGUCAACCAAAAUCAAAUCUCUAUGACACCGUCAUCAGACGACCAUAUUCGUUGCCCAUAUUGCUGGAUUCGCGGUUCACUGAGGGAUGAAGCCACAAGGGCCCUAUGUGUUUCCAUAAGCCAUACCCACAAGGUGAUAUGAAUGCGCCUUGGGAGCUGGCUUAAAAAGCCUUACCUAGGUGUUCUUAGGGUCAUACAAAAGCCCCUGGAGCGCCCAUUUGGAAGGCUUGGCCUGCAGGCAACUUUUGGGAUUGCACACCCACCCAUGUAGUGUUACCUUACCCUUUGAUGGGCAGGCUACCAAAUACUCAGUGGAGAUGGUGUGAAGGUAAAUCUGUAGCUGCAACUCUAUCUUCUUUGGUCUCUGCGGUCCGUCAUAAACAUACCAAGAGGGGACUGAUAGUGUCAAAAUAGGAUCCACUUGAUAGUCUUGACAAUUCCUUCAGUUCCUUUG
Molecule: non-coding RNA, 617 nt
Organism: Neurospora crassa OR74A
Lineage: Eukaryota; Fungi; Ascomycota; Sordariomycetes; Sordariales; Sordariaceae
Source: RefSeq, a predicted model, not a curated record